AACGAACGCUGGCGGCAUGCCUAACACAUGCAAGUCGAACGAGACCUUCGGGUCUAGUGGCGCACGGGUGCGUAACGCGUGGGAACCUGCCCUUAGGUUCGGAAUAACUCCCCGAAAGGGGUGCUAAUACCGGAUAAUGUCUUCGGACCAAAGAUUUAUCGCCUUUGGAUGGGCCCGCGUUGGAUUAGCUAGUUGGUAGGGUAAAAGCCUACCAAGGCGACGAUCCAUAGCUGGUCUGAGAGGAUGGUCAGCCACACUGGGACUGAGACACGGCCCAGACUCCUGCGGGAGGCAGCAGUGGGGAAUAUUGGACGAUGGGCGAAAGCCUGAGCCAGCAGUGCCGCGAGAGUGAUGAAGGCCUUAGGGUUGUAAAGCUCUUUUACCCGGGAUGAUAAUGACAGUACCGGGAGAAUAAGCUCCGGCUAACUCCGU
This 432-nucleotide ribosomal RNA is filed under the name uncultured bacterium. RNAcentral's name for it is "partial 16S ribosomal RNA". It matches the Rfam family "Bacterial small subunit ribosomal RNA", at positions 29 to 506 of the family's 1533-position model. The record is from RNAcentral.